UACGAAGGGGGCUAGCGUUGUUCGGAAUCACUGGGCGUAAAGGGCGCGUAGGCGGCCGAUCAAGUCGGGGGUGAAAGCCUGUGGCUUAACCACAGAAUGGCCUUCGAUACUGUUUGGCUUGAGACCGUAAGAGGUUAGUGGAACUGCGAGUGUAGAGGUGAAAUUCGUAGAUAUUCGCAAGAACACCAGUGGCGAAGGCGGCUGACUGGUCCGGUUCUGACGCUGAGGCGCGAAAGCGUGGGGAGCAAACAGG
Molecule: ribosomal RNA, 253 nt
Filed under: uncultured bacterium
Lineage: Bacteria
Description: partial 16S ribosomal RNA
Rfam family: Bacterial small subunit ribosomal RNA
Source: RNAcentral